GAUGAACGCUGGCGGCGUGCCUAACACAUGCAAGUCGAGCGGACAGACGUCGUCGUUGCUUCGCUAACGGUGGACGCGGACGGGAGAGUAACACGAGCAGCACCUAUCUAUGGGACUGGGAUAACUACGGGAAAUCGGUGCUCAUUACUGUAUAUAUCGUCAACCUUUAAGUUUAAUAGUUAAAGAGGGUAUUGCUGUCCCCUCUCAAUAGUUCCGCGCCGCAUUAGUUAGUUGGCAAGGUAACGGCAUACCAAGGCAAGGAUGCGUAGCUGACCUGCGAGGGUGAUCGGCCACACUAGAACUGAAACGCGGUCCAGACUCCUACGGGACGCAGCAGUAGAGAAUGGUACGCUAGGGGAGGAAGCCUGACGGGACAACGCCGCGUCGGGGAUAAGAGGCUUCGGAUAGUAAAUCUCUGUUAUUAGUGAAGAACGAUUGUGUAAGUAACUAGGCACUUCUUGACGGUACUUAAUCAGAAAGCAACGGCUAACUACGUG
Molecule: ribosomal RNA, 497 nt
Filed under: uncultured bacterium
Lineage: Bacteria
Description: partial 16S ribosomal RNA
Rfam family: Bacterial small subunit ribosomal RNA
Source: RNAcentral